GUUGCCUUUGCUUUUGAAUACUCAUUUAAUACACAGAGUUCUGUUAUAAAAAGUGUAAUUAUCAAUUUAAUUAACAAUUAAAUACAAAUAAAUAUAUUAUACAGUAUUCAACAACCUAUUGAUGAAAGUGUACAGCAGCAGGAAGUUCAGAGAGGAGGAAGUUCCUGUGUGUGUUUGUGACUGAUCUGCAGUGACUUACAGCUCAGAGCACUGAGAGCCUCAACAGAGAACUGAACUGAUCUGAUUGAACAUGGACAGAUGCUUCAUACUGAUCCUCAUCGUGGGAACAGGUUUAGUGGCUGGAGACAGCCUUGAUCCAGAUAAAGGAACAGACAAAAACUCUGAAGAAAGAGAAACUGUCAAGCUGAGCUGCUCUUAUAGUACAAGUAGUGAAUAUGUACGGCUUUACUGGUACAGACAGUAUCCCAACAGAGAACCUGUGUAUUUAUUACUCAAAAAUGCACGGUCAGCAGAUGAUUACGAACACACCUCUGAUAAUCGAUUUCAGUCGACUGCAGCACGUAGAUCCACUGAACUCACUAUCACUGAUGUACGUCUGUCAGAUUCAGCUCUCUAUUAUUGUGCUCUAAGAGUAGUAGCCCAGUGAUACAAAACAUGAAGAAUGUCGUACAAAAACCUGAAGAUCUUUUUAUUCUAGUGAAAAACCACAAUCAAAACCACAAUCUAUCCAGCCCUGAAUGUAAUACAAUAUGUGGUCACAGCUGUGAGAGGCUGAAUCAGGCCUGUUAAAAAAAUUCCAAGAAGUAUUGACAAUUUGUUAAGAUAUCACAGCCUAUGUGGUUCCUUUUAUGCACAAAUAUAUUCUUAAUAUAACAUCUUAAUUGUUUGUCAUGCAAGUUAAAAAACAGGGAGCAAUUAGAGGGAGGCUGAUUUGUUUAAUGGGUGCUGAUAUAUCAUUCUGUUUUAAUAUUAAUAUUUUCUUUGUGCUUCUUCAAACCGUGUCUUUCAGCACCAUACCCAUUGAGUUCAUUGCUGUGUUGACUCUCCAACAGCAUCCAGUCUAUUCUAUUUAAUAUUAUCACUCAGUCUUGUAGGUUUAUUUUUAUGGCUUUGUCAGUGACUUUGGAGCUUGUUCUCCCACUGACACACAGGAUAUUGUCAUACUUAAAUCUAGUCCUCCAUAAAUUAAAGCCACAUACAUUGUAUAUGACUCAAAGCAUGUGAAAAUCUCUUUAAAGUCACAGGCUUUGUUAUUACAGUAAUUUUACAUGUAUUAAUUUAGCAGAUGCUUUCACCCAAAGUGUCUUUAUAAAUUGUGAGAUAUAAUAACAUUCUCGGGAACUGUGUACUU
This is a non-coding RNA of Carassius gibelio (silver crucian carp), 1312 nucleotides long. NCBI's taxonomy places the organism in Eukaryota, Metazoa, Chordata, Actinopteri, Cypriniformes, Cyprinidae. The record is from the annotation of a RefSeq genome assembly.